Solanum stenotomum is the source of this 1178-nucleotide long non-coding RNA. RefSeq lists it as uncharacterized. Lineage: Eukaryota; Viridiplantae; Streptophyta; Magnoliopsida; Solanales; Solanaceae. The record is from RefSeq and is a predicted model, not a curated record. The transcript has 3 exons.
UCAAUCAACCAAGAACAAGUUGUGUACAUCUAAGUUUGUUGCAGAAAAUUUCAAAGAUGAAAUUACAUGUCAACCAUAUAUAAGAUUGUGGGAAAUUUAGGAAUUGGUGAGGAAAAAAUUUGGGUUAUAUGUUGGAAGAACUGUUUGUUAUAGGGCAAAAAAGAGGGUUAUCGAGGACUUUUUAGGUGAUUGGAAGAUGAAAUUUUCAAGAUUGUGUGAUUAUGCAGACAUGAUUAAACAUACUAAUCCUGAUACUUCAUGUUGGGUGAGGACAGAUAGAGAGUCUCAGCCAGGAAAAACUUUGUUUGUUUACUUUUAUGUUUGCUUUGAUGCAUUGAAGAGAGGCUGGUUGGAAGGAUGCAGAAAAAUUAUUGGUUUUGAUGGACGUUUUCUAAAGGGUUCUUGCAAGGGUGAAUUGUUGGUUGCUGUUGGUAGAAAUGGAAAUCAACAGAUGUUUCCAAUUGCAUGGGCUGUUGUUGACACAGAGACAAAACACAGUUAGAGUUUUUUCCUCAAUUACGAGAUAGAAGAUCUGAACUUAGGCACAGGACAUGGACUGACUGUCAUGUCAGAUAUGUAGAAGGGUCUUGUACCAACUUUAUGUGAGUUGCUACCAGAUAGUGAGCAGAGAAGGUGUGCUAGACAUAUCUGGUCCAUCUGGCAUCAAAUAUGGAGUGGUGAAGAAAGAAGGAACCAGUUCUGGAGAUGUGCUAAGUCAAGUUUUGAAGUGAAAUUUGAAGAUGAGAUGGAUAAACUCAACAAAUUAGGUAAUAAAAUUUGUGAGAACUUGUUGCAUUAUGAAAAACCUACUUGGUGCAAAGCAUAUUUUAAGGAGCAUUCUAAGUGUGACAUUGUUGAAAACAAUAUGUGUGAAACUUUUAAUUCUUGGAUACUAGCUGCUAGACAUAAGGCUAUCAUAACUAUGUUAGAGGAGAUUAGACACAAGAUAAUGGACAGAAAUAUUGCAAUGAGGCAAUUUGCUGAAACUUGGAUCUCAGAUAUCUCUCAUAUGGCUAGACUAGUACUUGAAGAGAACAAAGAUCUUGCUAGACUUUGUGAAGUUAGAUUCAAUGGUGAUAUUGGGUAUGAAAUCUUAGAUGGUCAGUACAGGCAUAUUGUUGAUAUAAGGAAGAAGACAUGUACAUGUAGGACAUGGCAAUUGAGAGGCAUACCAUGUC